RNAcentral lists this unclassified non-coding RNA (408 nucleotides) under soil metagenome. RNAcentral describes it as "partial contains 5.8S ribosomal RNA, internal transcribed spacer 2, and large subunit ribosomal RNA". The stretch from base 1 to 120 matches the Rfam family "5.8S ribosomal RNA", at positions 35 to 154 of the family's 154-position model. The record is from RNAcentral.
GAUGAAGAACGUAGCAAAAUGCGAUAAGUAAUGUGAAUUGCAGAAUUCAGUGAAUCAUCGAAUCUUUGAACGCACCUUGCGCUCCUUGGCAUUCCGAGGAGCAUGCCUGUUUGAGUGUCAUUAAAUUCUCAAGACCUGUCUGCUUUUUUGAUAGGUAUUGGAUUUUGGGGGUUGCAGGCUGUUUCAAAUAAAUAGCCUUGCUCUCCUUGAAUGUAUUAGUGGAGAAAAGCCAUUGAACUCCAUUGGUGUGAUAAAACCUAUCAAUGCCAGGAGCAAUAUCACUACUUCUCUCUGCUGUCUAACUGUGACUGUCUGUAUUAAUUAGUAUGGAUGGGGACAACUUGACCAACUUGACCUCAAAUCAGGUAGGACUACCCGCUGAACUUAAGCAUAUCAAUAAGCGGAGGA